GAGUCGGACACGGUUAAACCAUUCUCCAAUUCGGACAGAUCCUUCUGCAAUUGAGUAAUCUCGCGAGCGGACAUGGUGCUCCAUUGAUGAUAUUGCACAACGGCCUAUUAAAAUAAUAUCAUUAGCAUGUUUCAUAACAAAAUUAUCUUUCGAUUUCCAAGCAGCCAAGCCGUUUGCUCCAUAAAUGAAUAGUAUAAUUAUAAUAAUUAUUGCGUUAUUAUAAUAUAGUUUGAAAGAUUCUCUAUUGAUAUAAAUAAAAAUAUAUAUAAUAUUA
This is a long non-coding RNA of Monomorium pharaonis (pharaoh ant), 274 nucleotides long. RefSeq lists it as uncharacterized. The record is from RefSeq and is a predicted model, not a curated record. The transcript is spliced from 2 exons. NCBI's taxonomy places the organism in Eukaryota, Metazoa, Arthropoda, Insecta, Hymenoptera, Formicidae.